UAAAGAAAGCGUAAUAGCUCACUGGUCGAGUCGGCCUGCGCGGAAGAUGUAACGGGGCUAAACCAUGCACCGAAGCUGCGGCAGCGACACUGUGUGUUGUUGGGUAGGGGAGCGUUCUGUAAGCCUGUGAAGGUGGCCUGUGAGGGUUGCUGGAGGUAUCAGAAGUGCGAAUGCUGACAUAAGUAACGAUAAAGCGGGGGAAAAGCCCGCUCGCCGGAAGACCAA
RNAcentral lists this ribosomal RNA (225 nucleotides) under Salmonella enterica subsp. enterica serovar Lubbock. RNAcentral's name for it is "partial 23S ribosomal RNA". It matches the Rfam family "Bacterial large subunit ribosomal RNA", at positions 1124 to 1348 of the family's 2925-position model. Lineage: Bacteria; Pseudomonadati; Pseudomonadota; Gammaproteobacteria; Enterobacterales; Enterobacteriaceae. The record is from RNAcentral.